Pantherophis guttatus is the source of this 332-nucleotide long non-coding RNA. RefSeq lists it as uncharacterized. The record is from RefSeq and is a predicted model, not a curated record. Lineage: Eukaryota; Metazoa; Chordata; Lepidosauria; Squamata; Colubridae.
AUUUUUGCCUUCUCCAUUUUGUGCUGCCAUUUUGUGCUGUGUUUGUACUUGCUAUUUGUGUUCUCUACAACAUGGAAAAACCUACAAGGAUGCUGAUCCGAUCCGUUGCAUGUGAUGACACAUAUUUGUAUUUGACAUGACAAUUCGUCAAGGCUUGGUACAGUGCGGUGAGACGCGAUUAUGAGAUGCAUGCAUUCGGCACAGGAGAAUUGUUUUGAGAGAGUGCGCCGUGCACAAGAGUGCUCUGCGCACAAGUGGCUUUGUUUACUUCUUACUGAAACACGACACGGCACACACGCACGCAAUGAAUAAAAUGUUUCUUUUAUUUACGA